UGUGGGGUGAAAGGAUUCCAACAUAUAAACCUUGUAAUGGAAAUUGCACACAUAGUGCUUGAUGAAAUGCUUAAGUGAGCUAAAACCAUGAAUCUCUCCCUAAUUAUGGUUCAAUUUUGUUAUAUCUCUAGUUGAUUGGAAUUGCUAGAAGUGUUGGGGAGUUGUGGUAAUUUAAGGGAAGCUCAAGCAAGGUAUGUUGGCUAAACGUGUCUCCUAGAAUUGAAUCCCAUGAUGUUCUUGUAAGUCUCGAGUUAUUCAUUAUAAAUUAACUAUUCCGAAUAAGCUUUGUGUUGAAAGGUAUAUGUUCAAAAUGUAUUCCGAAUGCUCUUAUCAUAUGUUGUUAUCCUUAUGGAAUGUGUUCAAAGCAUGAGUUGGGUAUAAUAAUGUUAUGACUACAUGUAGUGUUUCAAGUGAAGGCUAUUAUGCCAAAUUGUGUAAGAAGUCUCAAUAUGCUUAAGACUCUUAAUUGCUCAUAGGUGUACUAAAAGUCAUGAUUAGAGAUUCUUUGUUGUCGAUAAUAUAUAAAUAUGCUUAAAUGUGAAAGUAGUGAGCUGGGGAUAUAAAGUGUGGACACCGUGCCAAGAAUAAAAGUUAUAUUAUGGCCAAUAGCGCCAAUGAAAUGAAAUGAUGUGUGAAAUAAUAUGAAAUGAGCCUUGAUUCAACUAUUCCAAAUUGACUCCGAAAAUAGAAUUAUCCAAAAGCUUAUGUACUCAAGUCGUGUCCAAAUGUAGUUGUUCUGACUAAUGCUAUGCUUGCAAGGUAUUUCCAAUAUGUUUUGAGUUCUUACAUAUUCCUGAGUUGAAAUUGUGUAUUACCCUUUUGGGGAAUGGUAUUUCAAGAGUAUUCUAUAUGAUGAUGUUGAUGAUGAUAAUCCUUGAAAGUAAAUAAAUGAAAGUGCAGAAUAUGAUAUACGGCCACGGUGCCAUGUAUGAAGAAUAAUAUGUAUGGCUAAGGGAGACAAUGAAAUAAUGAUGGUAUAAGUAGUUGAAAGUAAUUGUGAACUGAUAUAUGGUGUGAAAGAUUAUGAGAUGAACGUAUUUCUACUUAUGUUUCCAAUGUGUUAUAAGAUCCUACGCCCUCAUGAGGAGAGUCUAUGGUGUUCCUAAUAUUUUAAAUGUUCUUUAUGUCCUAUGAUCACCCAUGGCAAGUUCAAGUAAGUGAUGGUAUGAACAUGAAAUGUGGUCGUUUGCCAAAAUGAGAAUUACGAGGUGUGGUAUGUCCCUAUGGUUUCAAUCAUAGUAUGUAUGCUACUAAAAUAAUUAAUGUAAAUGACUUCGAUGUUAAGUCCUCAAGAAUCAUGAACUUAGCUAAUGACCUUAAGAUGACAAGAGAGUAUAUAAUGAAGUGGAAGAGGGAUGUCCUAUGCUAAGUGACAAUAAAUCUUAUGGAUAACGUAUUUGGGCCAUGUGCCAUUGAAAUUGACUUAUUGAUUUACCAUACAUGUGCUAACGUAAUAAGUUAUGUUCCUCCAUGAUGAGCAUGAACAUGAAUAUGAAGUGUUCUAAUGAUCCGAGAACUUACGACCUUAAAUGUAGCGCUAGUCAUGUCACUUUGGGUUUAUAUAUGGUCAUGUGCAUAAUGAUGUGUUUUGAUCCUCGAUGGUCUAUGAAACACAUAGGUGUAUUGUGUAAGUAAACACUUUGGACGGUCUAUGAAGCACAUAGGUGUAUUGUAUGGUAUAUGUGAAUCCUAUGGAUGGUCUACGAAACACAUAGGUGUACAGUAUGAUAUGUGAACACUAUGGACGGUCUAUGAGACGCAUAGGUGUAUAAUAUGACAUGCAAUCCUAUGGACGGUCUAUGAAACGCAUAGGUGUAUUGUGUAAGGAACACUAUGGACGGUCUAUGAAACGCAUAGGUGUAUUGUGUAAGGAACACUAUGGACGGUCUAUGAAAUGCAUAGGCGUAUUGUACUGUAAUAUAUGACCCCAUAGACGGGCUAUGAAACACAUAGGUGUAUAAUGGUAUAGGUGAACCCUAUAGAAGGCCUAUGAAACACAUAGGUAUAUAAUGUAGUAUUGUAUCCUAUGGACGGACUAUGAAAUGCAUAGGUGUAUGAUAUGUGAAUACUGUGAAUGGCCUAUGAAACGCACAGGUGUAUUGUCUAAGUAAAAACCGUGAACGAUCUAAGAAAAGCACAGGUGUAUUGUAUAGGUGAUACUGUGAAUGGUAUAUGAAAUGCACAAGUGUAUUGUGUAAGUAAACACCGUGAAUGGUCUAUGAAACGAACAUGUGUAUUGUAUAGGUGAUACUUUGAACGGUCUAUAAAACGCACAGGUGUAUUUGUGUAAGUAAACAAUAUGAAUGGUCUAUGAAAUGCACAGGUGUAUUUUGUAUGUAAACAAUAUGAACGGCCUAUGAAACGCACAUGUGAAAUGUAUAGGUGUAAGAUAAGAGAGGGAUAUGGACAGUCUAGUGAGACGUAUUGUUAACACAUACAUUAAGUGCCACUUUCAGUGGCCUUGUUUGAACAUGUUGUUUAAAUUACUUUAUAUUAUGUAUUUCACGCAUAGUUCAUAUGGCUCAGUUAAUCCUAAAUGGAAUUUAAAAUGAUAUAAGCAUAACGAGACUUUAAAUGUUAAUAUAUGGGAUAUUUCGUAGUUCUUGAUAUACUUUGUAUGCCUCUUAUUUGAAUUACCAUCAUUUCAUAUGUUGUUAUGUUGCCCUUACAUGCGAGUACUAUUCCACAUGUACUCACGUCCCUUUUGCUAGGGACGAUGCAUGUUUUAAUGGAUGCUGAUAUACUUCUACAGGAUGAUAUAGAUCUUUGAUAGGGAUCUUGUGCGCACCAGAUUAUGGUGAGCCCACUAUAAUUCCAGUGGGUAUUCGAGUCUAGUUGGUUUUAUGUACUUAGGUAUCUAUUUUCAUAGAAGUUCCAUGUACAGUAUGGGUCAUGUACUUAAGUUUUGAGUUUCGUCAUGUAUUUAUUUUCACAUUUAUUAGUGAAGCUAUGUAGCCAUCACGAGAGAAACAUAAAAAGCAAUUUAUGGAUCAUUGAGCCAAAUGUAUUCAAUAUGAAAGUCAAGAUCUAAUUAUGUUUUGAUAAAUCAUGCAUGAGUUAUGAUGAGAGGUUGAUUUAGCGUAGGAUUUCUCAACAGGGUUCACUCAGUUGAGCGCCGGUCAUGCUCCCCAAGUUCGGGGUGUGACAAACUUGGUAUCCGAGCAUGAUUUACGAGUCCUAAGGUGUCAUGGAGUUGUGUCAGUAGAGUCCCUCUUAUCGGUGUGUUGCCGGCCAUACUUAUAAUAGGGAGGAUACAAUGGCAUUUAGGAAAUGUUUCUCUUCUUCAAUCCUAUAUUGUGCGUUAAGGUUCCGAGUUAAUCUAGAAGUUCCUUUGUUAAUGUCAAGGAAUAUUUGCACGUCGUGAUAUGAAAUGAGAAAGGCCUAAGGAUUAAAGGAAUGGAGCACAUAACAUGUAUAAUGUGUGAGGUACCCAAUUCUCACCAUAAUGGAGGAAGGAAAAGUCAAGGAUACGACCAAGUAAGCAAGGUUAUAGAGUUAGCCCCGAGAGUUAUGGUUGUUGUUAUUUUCAUGUAUAUGGUGCGAUGUAGCCAAGGAAACUCUAUCAAAAUUUCUAGAAUAUUCGGGGAGUUAGUCAAAUAUGGGACUAGGGAAUGUGAAUAAAGAGCUAAGUCAUAUUGGGGUGUUUUGUGGCAUGACCUAANNNNNNNNNNNNNNNNNNNNNNNNNUAUAUAUGUAUGUAUAUAAAAUUUUCGCGGAGUGAAGUAGAAAGUUGGCAAAUUUUGAAAUCAUUUUGUGGCAAUUCAGCUGGCCACAUAAUGAUUCUGGUAUCGCAUAAUGGUCGCAGAAUGAUUAUGCUAUUGCGAAAUGUCAUCGCGGAAAAGACUAGAGGCAACCCAGAAUUUGAAAAUCAUUUUGAGUCCAUUUCACUGGCCACAUAUUGAUUCUACUAUCGCGGAAUUGCAUCGCGGAAUUGACAUGCCAUUUUGUGGCCAUUCCACUUGCCACAUAUUGAUUCUGCUACCACAUAAUUGCACCAUAAAAUUUAUUUCGGGGGUCAUUUUUUGUAAUUUUCUUAUCCGACCCAAUUUUGAUAUAAGGCCUUAGGGGGUCAUUUUGCAAGGUAAAAUCUGAUUUUUAGAGAGAAGUGAGAGUACUUUAUAUAGAGAAGGAGAAUAUCUAGCAUGCUAAUCAUCUAUUCUUGCCCAAAUCUUCAAAAAUCAAGGAAACCAAUCACUAGAUCUUCAUCUAAGAGGUAAGUUCUACCCCCUAUCCCUAAAAUUUCGGGAUUUUGACUAAAAGUAGGUAAUAAGAAGUAUGAUUCUUAACUGUGGAGGUUGUUUAACUAAAAAGUGUAAAUGAUUUGUUGUGGGGUGAAAGGAUUCCACCAUAGAAACCUUGUAAUGGAAAUUGCACACAUAGUGCUUGAUGAAAUGCUUAAGUGAGCUAAUACCAUGAAUCUCUCCCUAAUUAUGGUUCAAUUUUGUUAUAUCUCUAAUUGAUUGGAAUUGCUAGAAGUGUUGGGGAGUUGUGGUAAUUUAAGGGAAUCUCAAGCAAGGUAUGUUGGCUAAACGUGUCUCCUAGAAUUGAAUCCCAUGAUGUUCUUGUAAGUCUCGAGUUAUUCAUUAUAAAUUAGCUAUUCUGAAUAAGCUUUGUGUUGAAAGGUAUAUGUUCAAAAUGUAUUCCGAAUGCUCUUAUCAUAUGUUGUUAUCCUUCUGGAAUGUGUUUAAAGCAUGAGUUAGGU
This 4702-nucleotide long non-coding RNA is filed under the name Nicotiana tabacum (common tobacco). RNAcentral's name for it is "long non-coding RNA (NTAB_LNC013757)". The record is from RNAcentral. Lineage: Eukaryota; Viridiplantae; Streptophyta; Magnoliopsida; Solanales; Solanaceae.